GACGAACGCUGGCGGCGUGCUUAACACAUGCAAGUCACGGGGGCCCGCAAGGGCAACCGGCGAACGGGUGCGUAACACGUGAACAACCUGCCCUCGUGUGGGGGAUAGCCGGGCUAACGCCCGGGUAAUACCGCAUACGUUCCCUUGGAGGAUUCUCUGGGGGAGGAAAGCUCCGGCGCACGGGGAGGGGUUCGCGGCCUAUCAGCUAGUUGGCGGGGUAAUGGCCCACCAAGGCGACGACGGGUAGCUGGUCUGAGAGGAUGGCCAGCCACAUUGGGACUGAGAGACGGCCCAGACUCCUACGGGAGGCAGCAGUGGGGAAUCUUGCGCAAUUGCCGAAAGGCUGACGCAGCGACGCCGCGUGUGGGAGGACGCC
This 376-nucleotide ribosomal RNA is filed under the name uncultured bacterium. Its description in RNAcentral is "bacterial SSU rRNA". It matches the Rfam family "Bacterial small subunit ribosomal RNA", at positions 28 to 415 of the family's 1533-position model. The record is from RNAcentral.